RNAcentral lists this unclassified non-coding RNA (401 nucleotides) under uncultured Ustilaginales. RNAcentral's name for it is "sequence contains ITS1". The stretch from base 1 to 93 matches the Rfam family "5.8S ribosomal RNA", at positions 50 to 154 of the family's 154-position model. Lineage: Eukaryota; Fungi; Basidiomycota; Ustilaginomycetes; Ustilaginales. The record is from RNAcentral.
AAACUGCGAUAAGUAAUGUGAAUUGCAGAACCGUGAAUCAUCAAAUUCUUUAACGCAAAUGGCACCUGUACAGGUAUGCCUGUUUCAGUAUCAGUAACCUAUACUCACCUACGUUUAUGUACGUGGCGGAGAUGCGGUGUCACUUUUUCUGGAAAAGAAGAAGUGUCCUGUUAAGUGGAGUGGCGCGCGCGGUACAGUCAACCAUUAUGACAAGCACGCAGAGCUAGUGUUGGUAGAAGAUUUUCAUUUUUUCGAUAGAAGAAAGAAAAAUUUUAUUCCCGCUGGUUGAGCUUGGCAUAGAGAUACUGGUACAGUGAGUGUGCGCUGACCGUCGGUCAACAGUCCGAAUUAUUAUUACAUACUCUGAUCUGAAAUCAGGCAAGAACGCCCGCUGAAUUUAA